AUUGAACGCUGGCGGCAGGCCUAACACAUGCAAGUCGAGCGGAGCGGCGGACGGGUGAGUAAUGUAUGGGGAUCUGCCCGAUAGAGGGGGAUAACUACUGGAAACGGUGGCUAAUACCGCAUACUAUCGGAUGAACCUAGGUCGGAUUAGCUAGUUGGUGGGGUAAAGGCCUACCAAGGCGACGAUCCGUAACUGGUCUGAGAGGAUGAUCAGUCACACUGGAACUGAGACACGGUCCAGACUCCUACGGGAGGCAGCAGUGGGGAAUAUUGGACAAUGGGCGAAAGCCUGAUCCAGCCAUGCCGCGUGUGUGAAGAAGGUCUUCGGAUUGUAAAGCACUUUAAGUUGGGAGGCGUUACCAACAGAAUAAGCACCGGCUAACUUCGUGCCAGCAGCCGCGGUAAUAC
RNAcentral lists this ribosomal RNA (407 nucleotides) under uncultured bacterium. RNAcentral describes it as "partial 16S ribosomal RNA". It matches the Rfam family "Bacterial small subunit ribosomal RNA", at positions 30 to 526 of the family's 1533-position model. The record is from RNAcentral.